RNAcentral lists this unclassified non-coding RNA (1618 nucleotides) under uncultured fungus. Its description in RNAcentral is "sequence contains 18S rRNA gene, ITS1, 5.8S rRNA gene, ITS2, 28S rRNA gene". The stretch from base 646 to 1618 matches the Rfam family "Eukaryotic large subunit ribosomal RNA", at positions 1 to 961 of the family's 3401-position model. The record is from RNAcentral. Lineage: Eukaryota; Fungi.
GGAAGGAUCAUUAACGAAUAAACUUGGUGGGCUGUAGCUGGCUCUUUGGAGCAUGUGCACGUCUGCUGACUUUAUCUAUCCACCUGUGCACCUUUUGUAGUCUUGGGGGGGUUGAUAGUGGCUGACUCUCGAUAGGCCCUUGUGGCUGAUCGGAUGUGGGGAAUGCUGGUUAGCUUUUCUCAAGAGGCCCUGACUUUCCCUCAGGUCUAUGUAUUUUCAUAUACCACGUAGUAUGUUGCAGAAUGUAUUCAUGGGCCUCUGUGCCUAUAAAACCUUAUACAACUUUCAGCAACGGAUCUCUUGGCUCUCGCAUCGAUGAAGAACGCAGCGAAAUGCGAUAAGUAAUGUGAAUUGCAGAAUUCAGUGAAUCAUCGAAUCUUUGAACGCACCUUGCGCUCCUUGGUAUUCCGAGGAGCAUGCCUGUUUGAGUGUCAUUUAAUUCUCAACCCUUCCAGCUUUUGUGGCUGGUUGUGGCUUGGAUAUGGGAGACUUUGCAGGCCUCUGUAUUUGAGGUCAGCUCUCCUGAAAUGCAUUAGCGGAACUGUUUGCAGUCCGUCACUGGUGUGAUAAUUAUCUACGCCAAAAGACAACUGCUCUCUGUCUGUUCAGCUUAUAACUGUCUCUCUGUAGACAACUUUGAACGUUUGACCUCAAAUCAGGUAGGACUACCCGCUGAACUUAAGCAUAUCAAUAAGCGGAGGAAAAGAAACUAACAAGGAUUCCCCUAGUAACUGCGAGUGAAGCGGGAAAAGCUCAAAUUUAAAAUCUGGCGGUCCAUGGCCGUCCGAGUUGUAAUCUAGAGAAGUGUUACCCGCGCUGGACCGUGUACAAGUCUCCUGGAAUGGAGCGUCAUAGAGGGUGAGAAUCCCGUCUCUGACACGGACUACCAGGGCUUUGUGGUAUGCUCUCAAAGAGUCGAGUUGUUUGGGAAUGCAGCUCAAAAUGGGUGGUAAAUUCCAUCUAAAGCUAAAUAUUGGCGAGAGACCGAUAGCGAACAAGUACCGUGAGGGAAAGAUGAAAAGAACUUUGGAAAGAGAGUUAAACAGUACGUGAAAUUGCUGAAAGGGAAACGCUUGAAGUCAGUCGCGUUGGCCAGGGAUCAGCCUCGCAAUUGCGUGGUGUACUUUCUGGUUGACGGGUCAGCAUCAAUUUUGACCGUUGGAAAAAGGUUUGGGGAAUGUGGCAGCUCCGGCUGUGUUAUAGCCCCUUGCCAUAUACAACGGUUGGGAUUGAGGAACUCAGCACGCCGCAAGGCCGGGUUUCGACCACGUCCGUGCUUAGGAUGCUGGCAUAAUGGCUUUAAGCGACCCGUCUUGAAACACGGACCAAGGAGUCUAACAUGCCUGCGAGUGUUUGGGUGGAAAACCCGAGCGCGUAAUGAAAGUGAAAGUUGAGAUCCCUGUCGUGGGGAGCAUCGACGCCCGGACCAGAACUUUUGGGACGGAUCCGCGGUAGAGCAUGUAUGUUGGGACCCGAAAGAUGGUGAACUAUGCCUGAAUAGGGUGAAGCCAGAGGAAACUCUGGUGGAGGCUCGUAGCGAUUCUGACGUGCAAAUCGAUCGUCAAAUUUGGGUAUAGGGGCGAAAGACUAAUCGAACCAUCUAGUAGCUGGUUCCUGC